RNAcentral lists this long non-coding RNA (539 nucleotides) under Homo sapiens (human). Its description in RNAcentral is "LHRI_LNC391.1". Lineage: Eukaryota; Metazoa; Chordata; Mammalia; Primates; Hominidae. The record is from RNAcentral.
ACUUGGAUUUUGCUUACCAAAUGAGAGAAAAAUCAAUAAUAAAUUUUAGACUUGGCACUUAAUCUACUGAGAGGACAAUGCCUCUGAUUCCUAAAAGAAAGAAAACUGAGGAAGGGGCAGGUCAGGGAAUAGGAGAACUGGGGAUACUGUUUUCAGAAUGUUUAGUUUGUCAUGCCUACUGCUUGUGUUCACAGAAAUUCCAAGAAGUUGACUGAUUUUAUGAGGCUGGAAUUUUGGGAAGUGGUCAGGGCUGAUGGUUUAGAUUAACAGUUAGGGGUACAAUAUAUUUUUUUCUUUUAGUUUUAGUUCACAUCGUAAUUGUACAUGUUUAAGGGAUACAGAGUGAUAUGUUGAUACAUGCAUACAAUGUGUAUAAUAGUCAAAUCAGGGUAAUUAGCACAUCCAUCACCUAAAACAUUUAUCAUUUCUCUAUGUGGUGAAGAUUCAAAAUCCUCUCCUCUAGCUUUUCAAAAACACACAAUAGAUUUUUUUUUUUCUAGCCACUUAUGUAGCUACAAAAAUAGUACUGGAGUAGGGGC